Molecule: long non-coding RNA, 498 nt
Filed under: Struthio camelus australis
Lineage: Eukaryota; Metazoa; Chordata; Aves; Struthioniformes; Struthionidae
Description: lncRNA (ENSSCUG00000009929.1)
Source: RNAcentral
ACAGUACCGCUUCCGCUUCUAGCCACAGUGCUCGCAGGCAGCUGGGUGGAGGCAGCUGCUCCCACGAGCUGCAGUUAGAUGGGAGGAUUUUGGUACCUGCCCUUUGCCGUCCUGCUUCACCGAGCAAUGUGCUCUGGGGACGGCACAGCCACAGAAUGGAACGGGGCUGCGGGCAAGUCCAUCACGUUUCGUCUGCAGCGCCUCUUGGGAAAGCACGUAGCCUGGCACUUUCAGAGCGAACUGCUAGCAACUGUCAAAUUUGGAAACCCUCCUGACAUCAUUUAUUUUGACCAAACCUACAAGAGUCGCCUGAACUUCUCUGCCAAUGGCACCGCAAUCACCAUCUCGCAGCUGGCAAUGGAAGACGCUGGCAUCUACACGGCUAAAUUCUCUACAACGGCAAAAGCUCUCUUCAUCCUGCAUGUGUACGCGGAGCUGCCGCAGCCAGCGAUCACCUGCAUCUGGAGCAACUGCUCCACCGCCGCCUGCCACUACCGC